This is a long non-coding RNA of Felis catus (domestic cat), 4727 nucleotides long. RefSeq lists it as uncharacterized. The record is from RefSeq and is a predicted model, not a curated record. Lineage: Eukaryota; Metazoa; Chordata; Mammalia; Carnivora; Felidae. The transcript is spliced from 10 exons.
UGGAAAGUCCCGAUGUGCACGUUUGGGCCUAUGCUGGAGACGCCAAAGUGAGAAGCGUGGCUUGCUUCGGAGCAGAGUUUCCAGUGCCACGGCCGGUGUGGCGCGUCUGGGACAUGUCUGAGCCCCGGCCGCCCUGGCUCUGAAAGGCCUAGAAGGAGCUGGAGGCGGCUCAGGAAUGCUGAGAUCCGGAGCUCCUCUGCACACUCACUGACCUGUUGCUACGGUGACGGUGACGUGCAGAAGCAGUGACACCCGCCUGAGCUGCAGCCCUGUCCACAGAAGGCAGAGAAGAGAGAGCUCAGCCCCGAGAGCCAAGAGCCGGAUGGGAAGUCACCUCGUGUCCAUGGACAGGACUCAGGGGACCGCAGCCCACCGGUCUGCUUGGUGAUGUGAAGGGGAGAGUUCCUGCCUAGCUCUGGCCCUUCGGUGGGGGGGGACGACCCAGCUGACCAGACUGCGUCCCAGAGCCGGGCUCGUACGUUAGCUUCAGUGGCCAGUGCCCCGUUACGCCGAAGGCCCUUGUAAAGGGAGGCUCCCCAAGUGCAUGUAACACAAGUCUUCACAGCAAGGCGGCGUGCAAGAGUUCGUCUCAUCGGAGGAUCUUCGCGCUGUCCUUCCGGAGUAAAAGAGCUGAAGGCGCUUGGGUGGCAAUUAAGCACGAACGCGCCCGUUUCCCGACGGGCCGAGCGUGCGACUCUCACCCAGGGAAAUCUCGCCCGGCGUCAGCGCUGCCCGGACAGGCAAUCGGAGCUUCCGCGGCGCCGAUGCGGGGCGGCUCUUCCAGGGCGAGAGGAAGCCCGCCGGGGGCUUGACCGGCAGGCACGUUUCUCGGGAGGAUGAGGACGAAAGGCCGCCGGCCCCAGCCCGACGUUUUGCCGGUCAGGGUAACAGGUUACACUUCGAGCAGUUCGGAGGCUUCCAAUCGGUGGAAGCGCUGAGAAAGGGGUGCUCGGAAUGAAGAGCAAUCUUGCCCUCACGCGCACUGUGAGUGGUCUUCGUCCAAGCCAGGCUGUGUCCACAAGCUUCCAGCUGACAUUUGGAAGAAAGAUACGCUCCUUCUGAGCUGAUUUUGGAGAGUUCUACAAAUACGCCUCAUGGCCCCGUUCUCGGACCUCUGACCCCACUCCCACGUGAGGGCCAGGACGGAUCAGCGCAGCCCUGUGUGUGGUUCAUGUCUUCCAAGGUUCACAUCAGCUCCUCCAAGAGCUUCAUACCUCCGUGACGACGAAUGUCACUUGGACAUAAAGGGGGUGUGGUUCCGGUGACCAAGAGAGGUCUUCAUGACUUCCCCAUCCUUGAGGGCAGGACCACCGGCUGUCCAGGCGAGUGAAGGGCUGAAUAUACAGUCGAGGGCCAGAUCACCUGCGACCAGAUCACAACAGAACCCCUACAGCCAUCAGCUUCGACCAUGCCCACCCAGGACCUGCUUUCAGCUCGGGACCAGCAGCCCAGUCUGCUCCCCAGACCAGUACACAGGUGCCCCUCUGGCUGACCGCACUGGCAUCCGAGUACCCACACCUUGCACUGGCAGCUCCCCAUCCCUGCCUGCCUCUGAGGCUCUGCUGAACCAGCGACGGGGCUGCACCCCGCCAAGAUCACCCCGCAGCCUUCACUUGCUCUGUCUGGGUGGUCCCCUCUCCACACACAAGGAGUAAGAUGGACGCCUCAGCCUGUGAUCCGUCCCACCACCCUCAUCAAGGACCUCGAAAGCGGCUGAGAUCCUGAUCACAGUCUGGGAUGAGACCCUGAUGGUCUCAGAUUGAAAGGCGCCUACACAGCAGAAUCACCUGGGGGGGCUUCCCAAACAACCUUCGGUAUCUGGGCUCCACUCUCGACGACUUGGGUUUCAUGCAGGACAGCGGCCCUCAAACCCAGGCUGCACCCAGCAGCCUUCCUGGAGGCGGGGCCCGGUGCCCCCAACACUGAGACCCAGAGGACCCCGGGACCCGGGACCCCCAGGAUCCCUGACAUCCUUUCGGGAUCGCUGUUAGCUCACAAGGCUUUCCUUUCCAACACCCAGAUGUAAUCCGCCUCUGCUUACUUCACACCCCACUUUCUCAAGGGUUUCUCGGAGCCCUCGGCAGAGGGGAGCCCCACCCCUGCUCUUCCCGCCCCCUCUGGCAUCCUCUGAGUAAAUUUUCUGGCUGUGGCAAUAUGGUUGCUUGUCUUGAAAAAUAAGUUUCGAUUUACACGUAAUGGGUUUAUUAUGGUUUUUUUUUUUAAUUAGUAAAUAUUUGAAGAUUUCUCUUCAUUGCUAACAUGGUAACUGUUUGGCAGAUACAACUCUCAGAUCACCAGUUCAGGCUCUACCCCUUGCCAGAGCUGUAACCUGUCACCAAACCUCCGUCAUCAUUGUCCCAGCCCAGCUAAAGGGCAUAAUUAACGCCUACUCACAGGGGAACUGAGAGGCUUAACGCAAAGCGGGUUGUUAAGCCCGAGCUAGAACAGGCGCUUAGUACAAGGUUCCUUGCCCCCCUCGCCCUCAGGGAGCAACCGGUCUGUAGUCACCUGGAUUCUGGGCUCAGGGAUCUGGGUUCGUCGAGCCAGUUCUUCUCUGGCAGUGAUAUCAGGGUAUGAGUCCCUCUCGAAGGCCUCGAUGAGCACCUGGUACUGGGUCUUGCUGAACUUGGUCCUUUUGCGUCUCCGACCUCCCUGGGGCGCUGGGACAGAUUCGCACCCAGAAAGAGGAGGUGUUAGUGUGACCCCACGUUUAGGUCCGUUUUGAGACUCGCUCCCCGUCCAAGUCAGCGUGCAGCCUCCCCAAGACGAGGUGUCUGCCUGCAGACACGGGACUCCGGCCCCUCUGAAAAAGCCUCCCAGUCGUCCCGAGCUGCUGCCCCUGGCCGGUGCCCUAGGCGGACAUGCUGGGGACCCUCCCUGAGCUCCCGCACCGACGGCUGCACCUGCUCUCCCCCAUUAGCUGCCCCCCCCCCGCCCCCAAUCCCCGGCUGCGGGCUGCGAGGGCAUCUCGGAGGGCUCGGCCGCUCCGGGAUGGGCACGACUGGGUCUCCCAGCCUCCGACUGCCCACUACCUCUGCUUGUGCCCAAGACACAUGAGUGGGGAGAGAGGCCAAAAACCACAAGAUAAGGAGACUUCGUGUGCAAAAACCCAGCCCAGGGGAUUUCUGUCUGUCAACACGGGUUUUUUCCCCCGUGACCUGGGGAAGCUUGCUGGUCCCCAACCCCGGGCCGGGCAGAGCGGGCUCCCCUCUGACGCGAUUUAGGUCAACACAGAAUCCGCUGUGGAGAAAAGCCCGCAGAAUACACGGCCCGGGGGAAGCCGGGCUCCCUUCCCUCCUGUCCUCCCCAGGCCCCACAGUGCCAGCCAGCACCCCCCACCAGAGGGGACUUGUGGACUGAAAAAUGGUGUCGCCCGUGCUCCUCGAGAGGGCCUUUCCGGGUUUGGUCCGGGGUGUUGGUCUCUCCUCCCAGGUCCCCAAACCAGACGUCACGGUGAGCGACGCCUGAGACCUGCCUGGACCCCACUGCCCGGCCUCUCCGGCCACCACCCCCACCCCCAGGACCCCCCUCUAGGACUCACGGUCUGAAGACAUGACCAAGCUGGAGACUGAAGCAGGUCAGAGGGAUCUCGAGCAGAGGUCAGGCCCGGGCCCGCGACAGACGCAGCCCUGGAUUCAAGCCAGCCUUGUCCCUGACCUGUGGCCAGGCCCCUCCCCUGCCACAGGCCGUGAGGGCGUUUCUGUCUGGCAACCCACACGUGGCGACUCCAAGCUGGGAUGCGCCGUGAGCGGAAGGGAGCCCCGGACAGUGGACGCUGAAGCUGCCGGCAGACCUCGCCGCUGUGUGGGCAGAGCUGGGGAGCCAGCCCCGGCCCUGGGACAGCUGCCUGUCUGCGUUUCCACGGCAACGCACGGAGGGAUGCCAAGCCUCCUGCCUUUAUAGACAAAUGCUUAUGUCCUCUAUCUUUUUCCCAAAUCACCCCCGAAAACAGUUGACGAUUCCUGACCUCUGCCCCUUCCCCACCUCUCUGGAAGAGAGGGCCCAGGACACCUGCGGAGUUGAUUGCUGCCCAGGUGCAGAGGUAGCGCUCCCAGAGGGAGACGCAUUUUGGAGACUGAGGACUGUGCCCUUGGCGGAGAGAGGGCCGGCUCUCCCCUCGCCUUUGUCCAGCGAACUGCCCUGCCUAAGGACAGAGCGUGGCCUUGAUGGGACACUUUGCUGUCUGAGCCUCGGUGUCUGUAACAGUGAAACUCUAAAAGCUUUUGAAAUGCAAACAGACUGGCCCUGGCCCUCUUGGAGCACCACCCAAGGAUUUCAUGGCUCCAGGCAGGAGGGAUACACUAGUCCCAAUGUUGGCUGAGCCUUUUCUCCAAGUUUCUAUUCCUAGAAGGUUAUAACUAUGAGUCAGAAAAUUACCAUAAAUUACCCUGGGGCUGGGGCUGGGGGUAGGCUGAAGGCCAGGGGGGGUUGGGAAAUCACCUCCCCAAGGGGACCACUCCCACCACUGGCAGAGCCCAGAGCCAACAUUGGAACCUGAACCUGAGAGUCCAGACUUUGGGGGUGGGGUGCUGCUGGUCAUGAUCAAGCUUCUGUCACUUGAAAACGGCAGCGGUCUGGGGUCAGGACACAGACAACAACACAGAGACACAGUCCCUUCCUCCACAUCCUAAUUUUGUGAGUUCUCUUAGGAAAAUAUGUCAUACAAAUGAAGUUAAAACCCAACAAUAAUCCCAGUUUUUGAAAUGGUAUAAAACUGGGGCGCCUGA